This 331-nucleotide long non-coding RNA is filed under the name Ricinus communis (castor bean). RNAcentral describes it as "long non-coding RNA (RCOM_LNC001757)". The record is from RNAcentral. Lineage: Eukaryota; Viridiplantae; Streptophyta; Magnoliopsida; Malpighiales; Euphorbiaceae.
GCCACCUGGGCUAUCAAUGCCUCCUCCCAUACAGCAACCAAUGCAGUAUUCCAGUUACAAUGCACCUUUGCAUACUGGAGCUCCGAACUUGCCAGGUCCAAACUUGCCAACUUCCAACCUACCAGUUCCAAACUUGCCGACUUCCAACCUACCAGCUUCAAACUUGCCGACUACCAACCUACCAGCUUCAAACUUGCCGACUACCAACCUACUAGCUUCAAACUUGCCAGUUCCCUUACCCGAUAUUUCAUCUCCUUUGCUUUCUGCUAGUACUGGUUCCCUUAAUUUAGCAUCCACUUCUUCAGCACCAUCAACUUUGCCUGCAACUUUA